UAGGGAAUCUUCGGCAAUGGGGGGAACCCUGACCGAGCAACGCCGCGGGAGUGAAGAAGGUUUUCGGAUCGUAAAGCUCUGUUGUUAAGGAAGAACGAGUGUGAGAAUGGAAAGUUCAUACUGUGACGGUACUUAACCAGAAAGGGACGGCUAACUACGUGCCAGCAGCCGCGGUAAUACGUAGGUCCCGAGCGUUGUCCGGAUUUAUUGGGCGUAAAGCGAGCGCAGGCGGUUAGAUAAGUCUGAAGUUAAAGGCAGUGGCUCAACCAUUGUAGGCUUUGGAAACUGUUUAACUUGAGUGCAGAAGGGGAGAGUGGAAUUCCAUGUGUAGCGGUGAAAUGCGUAGAUAUAUGGAGGAACACCGGUGGCGAAAGCGGCUCUCUGGUCUGUAACUGACGCUGAGGCUCGAAAGCGUGGGGAGCGAACAGG
RNAcentral lists this ribosomal RNA (429 nucleotides) under Bacteroidota bacterium. RNAcentral's name for it is "Bacteroidetes bacterium partial 16S ribosomal RNA". It matches the Rfam family "Bacterial small subunit ribosomal RNA", at positions 355 to 776 of the family's 1533-position model. The record is from RNAcentral. Lineage: Bacteria; Pseudomonadati; Bacteroidota.